AUUCAGCUAACGAAUCCUAAAAAAGGACGAAACGCGCGUCCUGAAU
Molecule: non-coding RNA, 46 nt
Organism: Schistosoma curassoni
Lineage: Eukaryota; Metazoa; Platyhelminthes; Trematoda; Strigeidida; Schistosomatidae
Source: Rfam